AAUUUGGAUGAAGAAAUAGUCCGUUUGUCGUGCCAAACUCACCCAGUAGCAGUCCUAGUUUCUGUCUAACUCCAAUCUGUAUUUCUCCCAGAUGUCCAUGGGGAGUCCAUAUUUAACUCCAUCGUCAUUAAGUGAAGAUGGGGAUAUGAAGUUGGAGGAAAAAAAAUACAGCAUCAGCAGCAUUCUUUCCAUCCUUCGAAACGCUCAAUCUCUCUAAAUUUCCUAAUUUGAGAGGAUGGUGGAAGAAAAUUGAGCAGCAACAUCAUCAUCUAUUAGUCUCAUGAUUUCCUCGUACCAUUUACUUGUAUAUCAAUGGCUAAGUUGACUUCCUUCCCAUUAUAUCCACAAUUUGAAGAACUAUAUCUAAAGAAUGUCAAUGAAAUAUCAUUAAGACUAUUAACUAUGACAACUGAAAGGAAGUCUGGUAAUCAAGAACAUUUCUCUCCUUCUGAUCAGUUGAAGUUCUGUCUCUUGAGGGGAUCCAGGAUUUAGAAUCACUGCCCGAGAAGUGGCUGUGAGGCAUCACUUAUCUCGAGGAUGUGUUUAUCAUGUACUGCCCUAAGCUAAGAAUGUCCCUGAUGCAACUUAGGCAACUUCUUAGCACAGUUGAAAGCUUCAGGAUAGGUAGUUCUGAGGAACUUGAUGUGUUCAAUAAUGUGGAUCAUGGGAGCAUGUGGUGGAGAUAACUUAACCUUUGCCGCCUACACAUCCAAAAUGUGUGGUGGAAUGAAUUGACAAAGAAACAGGGAAGGUUGGCCUAAAAUUCCUCAUUUCCCGAACUUAACACAGGGCCUGGAUCCUUGCAAAACUGAUUCAGAAACUGAUUCAUCUUCGACUUCCUGAGAAAGGAAUCUGGCAGUAGGCGACGAUGAAGUAGUAGUACAAACUUAUGGAGGAACAUCAACGUUGAUGGAAUGAUGCUAGGUGGAAAUUUGUUUACCAAAUGACUCCUUGCGGGCACAACAUCUGAGUAACAGCAGCUGCACACAGGCACUAUACUUGCACACCAGAGGUUGCUCUUCAUAAUAGGCAUAGCAAUCUUUACACAAAGCAUGAAGUGGAGAAUCAUAUUUUGGAAACAUUUUCUGGAACUAUGGAUAAGAUCAAGAUUAAGACAACGUUUUUAGUUAAUUAGUUAAAGUAGUUAUGAUUCUGUUGAAAGUCGUUAACAGAGCAAGUCUUUAGACAAAGCUUGUGUUUUCUUAAAGGGUGCAGAGGCCAUGUUUUUUUGGAACUUGUAACGAAGUUUUAAUUCAGAGCUUUCUCUAUUGUAUUUCUUCUUCUUUAGCCAUAAAUGGCCUUUCUUCUUCUCUAUAAGAUUGUGAAUUUCAUGAACAUGUUCAAGGAUUGGUCUUAGACUGCUCAAAUCCUGAAAUCCGAAGUCGAUUCCAGUACGAUCUUACACUUCUCUGUUUAUUGCUA
Molecule: non-coding RNA, 1422 nt
Organism: Prunus mume (Japanese apricot)
Lineage: Eukaryota; Viridiplantae; Streptophyta; Magnoliopsida; Rosales; Rosaceae
Source: RefSeq, a predicted model, not a curated record